RNAcentral lists this ribosomal RNA (460 nucleotides) under uncultured bacterium. RNAcentral describes it as "partial 16S ribosomal RNA". It matches the Rfam family "Bacterial small subunit ribosomal RNA", at positions 338 to 795 of the family's 1533-position model. The record is from RNAcentral.
CCUACGGGUGACAGCAGUGAGGAAUAUUGGUCAAUGGGCGCAAGCCUGAACCAGCCAAGUAGCGUGAAGGAUGACUGCCCUACGGGUUGUAAACUUCUUUUAUACGGGCGUAAAGUGAGUCACGUGUGCCUUAUUGUAUGUACUUUAUGAAUAAGGAUCGGCUAACUCCGUGCCAGCAGCCGCGGUAAUACGGAGGAUCCGAGCGUUAUCCGGAUUUAUUGGGUUUAAAGGGAGCGGAGAUGGGUAAGUAAGUCAGUUGUGAAAGGUAGGGGCUCAACCGUAACAGUGCAUUUGAAACUGGUAGUAUUGAGUACGGUUGAGGUAGGCGGAAUUCGUGGUGUAGCGGUGAAAUGCGUAGAUAUCACGAAGAACUCCGAUUGCGAAGGCAGCCUACUAAACUGCCACUGACACUGAGGCUCGAAAGUGUGGGUAUCAAACAGGAUUAGAUACCCCUGUAGUC